RNAcentral lists this ribosomal RNA (440 nucleotides) under uncultured bacterium. Its description in RNAcentral is "partial 16S ribosomal RNA". It matches the Rfam family "Bacterial small subunit ribosomal RNA", at positions 338 to 795 of the family's 1533-position model. The record is from RNAcentral.
CCUACGGGGGGCAGCAGUGGGGCAUAUUGCACAAUGGGGGAAACCCUGAUGCAGCGACGCCGCGUGAGUGAAGAAGUAAUUCGUUAUGUAAAGCUCUAUCAGCAGGGAAGCAAAUGACGGUACCUGAGUAAGAAGCCCCGGCUAACUACGUGCCAGCAGCCGCGGGAAUACGUAGGGGGCAAGCGUUAUCCGGAUUUACUGGGGGUAAAGGGAGCGUAGUCGGCUGUGCAAGUCCGGAGUGAAAGGCGGGGGCUAAACCCCCGGACUGCUCUGGAAACUGGACGGCUGGAGUGCAGGAGAGGUAAGUGGAAUGCGUGGUGUAGCGGUGAAAUGCGUAGAUAUGAGGAAGAACACCAGUGGCGAAGGCGGCUUACUGGACUGUAACUGACGUUGAGGCUCGAAAGCGUGGGGAGCAAACAGGAUUAGAUACCCGGGUAGUC